Molecule: transfer RNA, 77 nt
Filed under: Thiospirillum jenense
Lineage: Bacteria; Pseudomonadati; Pseudomonadota; Gammaproteobacteria; Chromatiales; Chromatiaceae
Also listed under: 1 other name
Description: tRNA-Met
Rfam family: tRNA
About the family: Transfer RNA (tRNA) molecules are approximately 80 nucleotides in length. Their secondary structure includes four short double-helical elements and three loops (D, anti-codon, and T loops). Further hydrogen bonds mediate the characteristic L-shaped molecular structure. tRNAs have two regions of fundamental functional importance: the anti-codon, which is responsible for specific mRNA codon recognition, and the 3' end, to which the tRNAs corresponding amino acid is attached (by aminoacyl-tRNA synthetases). tRNAs cope with the degeneracy of the genetic code in two manners: having more than one tRNA (with a specific anti-codon) for a particular amino acid; and 'wobble' base-pairing, i.e. permitting non-standard base-pairing at the 3rd anti-codon position.
Source: RNAcentral
GGCUACGUAGCUCAGUUGGUUAGAGCGCGGCACUCAUAAUGCCGAUGUCGCUAGUUCAAGUCUAGCCGUAGCCACCA